Molecule: long non-coding RNA, 641 nt
Organism: Eucalyptus grandis
Lineage: Eukaryota; Viridiplantae; Streptophyta; Magnoliopsida; Myrtales; Myrtaceae
Exons: 2
Source: RefSeq, a predicted model, not a curated record
AUGCUCAUUCAUUAUUGAAUUGGUGUUAUAAUUCUCAUGUUGGAAAUUGCGUCUUGAUUUCUCUGGUUUGAGUUGAGUCUUCUAUACGAAUGGAGUUCAGUGUUAGAAUCGUUGCUUAUAUGAUCAGAUUUUUCUAUUAUAUCUCAGUUUGUAUAAUCCAUUUUCAGUAUUACUCUGACGUGUCAUCACUGUGUAUGUGGUGUGGCCGGCGAACGAUAGCGACCUCGAUCUUUAGACCGGUGAUCGAGCGAGAGCUUGUCUCUCAAAAUAGAAGCUCGGAGAAGUUCAUUGACUGUGCUUGACAGGGCCACAAUCAUAACACGAAGUCAAGGGUGUACGGCAGCAACCGGUGAAACUCCUGCUCUUUCCGCAUCUGCAUUAUUCUCAGCUUGAAAGGUUUGAGUAUGGGUAUAUCCAUGUAAACUUGGUGAGGAAAGAUCAAUUCAGUACGACUGUACAAGCGAAUUCUUCUUUGCCUAUUCUUUCUGGUUUUAGUUUUCCCUUGCUACCCUGAGUUGGUUUCAUGGUGUGAUCGUAUUUGGAAAGCUUGAGGUCCUGAAUAUUUUAAUUCCCAAAAAGCAAAAAAAUAAAAAUUGUAGUAGCUGCAGUUCUUUGGGGAAUUAUUGAUUGCUUUAGGGGAA